This 23420-nucleotide long non-coding RNA is filed under the name Malus domestica (apple). RNAcentral describes it as "long non-coding RNA (MDOM_LNC007767)". Lineage: Eukaryota; Viridiplantae; Streptophyta; Magnoliopsida; Rosales; Rosaceae. The record is from RNAcentral.
GGUCGUCUCGGUCGAGCAGCGGUUCGAUCAUGUGUAUAGCCUUCAGAGGAGAUUUCCGUCCGGGGAAUUCGAUAACGGUGUCGGUGAGGUCCUUGAAACUCUGGGUGGUUUGUUCAUGGAUCUUAGGGAAAUACAAAAAAGCACCCAGAGCUGCGGCACCAGAAGUGUAGAAGUAGUAUGUGGGAAUGUCGAAUUCCUUGCUGAUGGUCAUCACGGAGGUGCAGACGAGGUCGAUGAUGAAGGCGCGGACGACGGCAGAUUUGGAGAUGUCUUGGAGGGCACGGCGGACGUGGGGAUCGUUCUGGCGAACGAAGUCAACCACGAUUGCGGUGCCGCUGAUGUUUUGGGUAAUUUUAUUGGUGACGCGAGGGAAUUGGCGGAAGGAAAUGGAAGGGUGGGAGUGGGAGAUGCGGCGGAUGUAGGCGGGGAUGCUAGGGGUGUCGAAGAAGCUGCCGCAGGUGUAGAGAAUGGUGAUGGAAAACUUGUGGGGGCCGUAGCGGUGGAGGAUGAGCUUGCCCAGCUCCACCAUGGAGAUGACAUGCCCCAUUCCUGGAGCUGCGUACAGCACUAUUACGUCUCCCAUGGCAGCUGCUGCUGCUGAUUUGUGUGUUGUGUUUUCUGCUGAAAUUAUCUGAUUUGAUUUGAGAGAAAAUUCAACUGAGUUCGGUAAAUUGCUUAUCUGAUUUGAUUUGAAAGAAAAUUCAACUGAAUAAAAGAUAGGUAACCAGUGCAUGCUCUCAUCUAACCAGCGCAUGCUCUCAUCUAACCAAAUAGUUAGAAGCAAACAAAAGUCAAUCAAAACGACAUGGAAGUAGACCAUAAUUUGUUUGUCUUUUCCUUAUUUUAUUUUUUCUUUGUAUUUUUUCUAUUUUAAUAAUUACAAAUUGGCCAAGAGAUAUACAUCAACAAAUAGCUUAAAAUAAUAAAAAUCUGACUCAGACAAUGAUCCCAAUUGAAGGAAACCUUUAAAGUUUGACGAACAAUAAGAUUGUUAUAAAAGAAAGGGAAAUUAGUCCAUUGCAGACUAAUUUUAAAAGUGUUUAGUCGAAAUAAAAUACAGACACAACAAUAAUGCAAACAUCAUCUUAAUAUCACAAUACUGUAGUGAGAUUAAAACAUUCAAAGCACAUCCAACUAUUGAUAACAAUUUCAAGAGUGAGUGACCAUGCAUUCCUUAUUUACUAGAGAACAUUUAUGUAUAAAACUCUGUGUCUUAAUGAAUUCUUAAUCCUAGAAUUUGUAAAACUAUCUUAAAAUUUUGCAAAAUGAAGAGAAACCAGAAGAUAUUUUCUGUACAUGAAUUUUGUCUAACUUUUCAUGUGUCUUGCAAAACUAAGCAGACAACAGCUUACAAUUGUUUGGUGUGGUGCUUCUGUCGAUUUUCCUUCAUUCCUUGCAGCAAACUAAGUAGACAAUAGCUUACAAUUGUUAGAUGAGGCAGUGGAGUAUGUCCAGUUUCUUCAGAAGCUGAUUCAGGUGCCUCUUUUGAAUAAGAUGUUACGUAUGUCUGCUAUGUAAUUGAAGGGAAGUUACAUACUAAAAACUUCGAAACAUGGCAGGAAAUUUCGGAGCAUCAAUGCAGGUGCAAAUGCAUAACUAAAGAAUGACCAGAAGAUACCCGAAAUGCCUCCUACUGUUUAGUGUAAUUGUUGAAAUAUCCUAUAUCGAUCGUAUUUAUGAGAAAAGAAGAGUUUAAAUAUCUUAAUCCCACUCCAACUAAUACCGAGGCUUUUUGUGAUAACACUCCACAACUGAUGGAUCGUGCAUGUGGUAAUUACUAAGUUGGAGACAAUAUUAGUGUUGUUGGAAGUAUACAGGCGUAAGAGUGCCAUACCUAAAUUCCAUGAUCAUGCACUUAGCUGCUUUUACUUGGAAAAGUUCAAUCGGUAUGAUUUUGGUUUUCACUUCCAAGGAAACAGAUUAUUGUUCUGGAAUUAUAGUCGUACAAUAGUAUGACAAUAUAUUUUGUUCCAAGGAAAAAGAGGUCGCACUUGGUGCGAUGGCAAGUGCCUUCGCCCAUAAGCGGUAGGUCUCGGGUUCGAGACUUGGGAGCAGCCUCUCCAUAAAUGGGGGUAAGGCUAGCCGACAUUCACCUCUCCCAGACCCUGUGUAAAGCGGGAGCCUUGUGCACUGGGUACGACCUUUUUUUUUUACUCUUAACAGGCUUCAUUUAUGCAUCUAUCACGUUUACUAUCGUGUAUCUGGAUGUUUAUAUAUUCACAAAGUUUUUUGUUACGUGGUGAGGAGCUACAUAAUUAAUAAACUCUCAUGUGGGAUUCUCAGAACUCAUUAACUUCAGUUACUGUGUAGCAUAGUGAUAUUGAGUUUUGAUGUGUAUGUUGUCAUCGCGAUAAAGGAGGAUUCAAGUGAGAGAUUAUCGACUUGCAUAUGGCUGAUAGUUAUUUAGAACAAAAUUACAAAGUGAUUUGCUAUCUUCAUCAAUUACGCAGCUAGUUUAUAUUUAAAAAUUUAGAGCUUAGGGAAUCAUAGCUAAAAAUCCUAUGUUCGAAUCCUUGCAUUUGCAACCUCUUGUGUGGAAUGUGGUCUCUCUAGUGGGCAAUGGUGAGAGGCUGACGAAUAAGGGAGAGUGGUAGGAUAUGGAAAAUUGUAAGACGCUUUCGUCAAUAAUGUCAAUUCCGCAUAAAGUUUGGAAGAAAAACCAAAAGCGAAUAAGAAAUGUAGGGUUGCUUGACGAGUUAACCAUUUGGUUUUUAGUCUUUAGUUUUGACUUUUUGGUUAGAUAUGAAAAGCAAAUACGAGGGAGAAAUGAGAGAUGAACAAAGGAAUAUAUGAUGAGUUGUGGGAAGGAUGCGGAAACCUUGGGAUUGAAAUUUGGGUCAAGUAUUUUGGUUUAGUAACCCUCAAUUGUCUGUUGCUCAUAAAUUUUGUAGGAACUAAGGAUCAUGAUCCUUAUUUUAACAAGAAAACUUCAUAUGCUUUUCAUUUGUUACUCACAUGAGUCACAACCAAAUUGCGAUUGUGAAUUGUGAUGAUGUCCAGGCUGAGUGAAUUGCGAUUUCAUGUUGGUUGCAACAUUGCAUUGGUAUUAUACACUCCGAAGCAUUAAUAAGCUAGUAAAUUUGACAGAGUUGAAGCAGAUCAACUCAUUGUUUAAGGUCAUUGUUGAAGGAUCAUCUCUUCCGAAACCAACCAACGAAUUAACCAACGACUCAGCAAGAAAGAAAUGCAUCUUAUUGGAUGGAAUUAAGCUGAUGGUCAACGUUACCACAUGUUGUUUGACUUGAGAAGAUGAUGAGGCAGUCUGUCCUAGAAUAAUUACCCAACUUUCAGACUAAAUCUCUCCACUAGAGAUUUUUCCCAUGUAUCGGAACACAGACGUCAUUAUAUAAAUGAAGUGAGGAUAUAUUUUUUUAUCUUUUUUUUAUUUAUAUUAUAAAGUGAUGUAUCGGCUCAAGAUUGGAUUACAUCUCUUUCAACAGACAACAAAAUCUUGCCUCUCUGUCUCUUUCCUCCAAAAUUUUUGAGCACAAACACAAAUUAAGCAACAAAAAAAGCAAACACAAAUUAAUGAGCAUGAAAAGGCACAAUAGUCCAGGAAUUAAUGGGAGCAAAAGGAGAGCUUGUCCCAAUAACCAGGGUAGUCUCGGUCGAGCAUCAGGUCGACCAUGUGGAUAGCCUUCAUAGGAGAUUUCCAUCCGGGGAAUUCGAAAAUGAUAUCGGUGAGGUCCUUAGAACUCUGGGUGGUUUGUUCAUAGAUUUUAGGGAAAUACAAAAAAGCAGCAAGAACUGCGGCACCAGAAGUGUAGAAGUAGUAUGUGGGGAUGUCGAAUUCAUUGGCAACCGUCAUCGCGGAGGUGCAAAAAAAGUCGAAGGCGAAGGUGCGAACCACGGCGGAUUUGGACAUUUCUUGUAGGGCACGGCGGAUGUGGUGAUCGUUCUACCGAACGAAGUCGACCAUGAUUGCGGGGCCACUGAUGUUUUUGGUAAUUUUAUUGGUGACGCGAGGGAAUUUGCCGAAGGAUAUGGAAAGGUGGGAGUGGGAGAUGUUAGAGUAUGAGUUGGUGAGUGUAGGAUUGUUACACUUGUCAUAAGAUUAGGAGCUGUGUUAGUUAGGUAGUUAAGAUUGUUGUGUAUAAAUAAUAUUGUACCUUGUAUUACUUGUUAAUUAAGAAAAGAUAUACAUUUCUCUCUUCCCUAUUCUCUCUCUCUCUCUCUAGAAACUGUUCUUCAUUACAUACAUAAAAGAUCUUCAAUUGAUAUAGGUUAACAUGGUAUCAAUCGCCUCUAAUGCUUGCGCAUGAUACUUUGAUCCAUCUUCUUGCUUCCGCUACCUUCAAAUCUGUCUUCGGCUACCUCUGAUUUCUGUUUCUUGAUCUUCAAGGAUUCUUCAUCUUCUUGAAACCCUCAUUUUCUAGGGUUUGGCUCGAUCUUGAUUUGUGAUCGAUUUUUCUUCUGUAUUUCUCUGGAUUGUACAGUCCAAGUGUUUGUGAUUAGUCCUCAAUGACUUUCUUCUUCGAACAACGAUUUGAUUCAACUCUCUACUGCAACAAUGGUGACUGCAGCACAACUUACGAUUCUUCAAUCUCCAAUCAUGGCUCUAAUUUCUAUGAUUUCUACGUCUGUAAACGUGAAAUUAGAUGAUUCAAACUACCUGGAAUUUUCAGAUGCAACUCAUGCUGGAAAGCAAUGGAAUUAUGGGAUUUGUUGAUGGCUCCAAUCCCUGCCCUGCUAAUACUGUCUUUGCUAAAUCUGGUAUGAAUUAUUUUGAUUCAUCUACUUCUGUGGAAUGUGAUGAAUUGCUAGUAUGGAAAAUGCAUGAUAGGGCUAUUAUGCAACUUGUUAUUGCGACUUUGUCACAUGUUGCUAUGUCUUGUGCGAUUGGUAGUAAAAGCUCUAAAGAUCUUUAGAUUCGCCUAAAAGAACAAUUUUCCAUUAUGUCAAGAACUAGCAUUUUCCAAAUGAAGUCUAAUUUGUAGAACAUCAGAAAAGGGUCUGAUACUAUAAGUCAGUAUUUGCAUAAAAUCAAAGAGGCUAGGGAUUACUUGGCAGGUGCAGGUGUGUAGUUUGUUGAUGAAGACAUUGGAAUUCUAGCUUUGAAUGAACUCCCUCCUGAAUAUAAUACAUUCAGAUGUGUGGUUAGGGGUAUAGAGAGUGUUAUUACCCUUAAAGAAUUUCGAUCUCAAUUACUAGCUGAAGAAAGUAUUGUGUAUAAUAUCUCUGUUGCACCAUCCGAUCUCACUGCUAUGGGUGCUAACUCUGGACCUAAUAUGUCUCAAGCACCAACAUUUCAGCAGUCUAAUGGUUCUCAUGGACAAUCAUCCUAUUUUAAUGGAGGUUAUAAGUCUUUCAAUAGAAACAAGGGCAAGUGAAAGUUCAAUUAAGGUUAGAGAUCAUUUAAUUCAAGACAACAGUUUUAUACAUAAACUCAUGUGUUGCCUACACCAACUUCGGGUGUUCUUGGUCAAUCCCCAACGAUAUACUACUCUUCACCAUCUGCACCUCUUAUUCCUACAUGUAAAUUAUGCAAUAGUGAAGGUCAUACUGCUCCAUUUUGUGGUUCUAAGCCUCCUAAGAGAUCCAAGUGUCACAUCCGUGAAAAAACAAAUCAGAUCACAUGGUACUGCUUCUAUAAUGACAAAGGUCCAAAUUUUAUUGGUGCUGGUUGUCAUCAUAAUUAUUCUCAGAUGUCUUCUUAGUUAUUUGGACACUCUUCAUCUCAGCACUACCAAUCUCAGCAAUCUUCUAUGCAAGCUAUGCAUACUGCAAUACAACCAACUCAGGCAUCCAUAUAUCAGAAUUUACCUAAGUAUGGCUCAUUGAUUUUCGUGCAACAAAUCAUAUGACUACCGAUAUGUCUAUUAUGUCUUUGGCAACUCUUUAUCCAACUAAUGAAAUCAUUCAAACUACUAAUGGUGAAGGUUUGUGUUAAACCCCACCCUUAAAGAUUAUGUAAUUUUCACAAUUGCCCAAAAGGUUUACUGAUUUUUACUUUCUGGUCCCUUAUCCUAUUUUAAUCCGGACCCUUCAUCUGGAUUCUCUUUCUCCCUCGCGCUGCCACAUGGCAGCCCCUAACUCACCACUAUCUCUCUCUCUCUCUCUCUUUUUCUCUCUCUUUUUCUCUCUUUCUUUCUCUCUCCCACUCUUCAUUUUCUCACUGUCACUCUCUCUCAACUCACCUCUCCCCCUCUCGCUCUCAUCCUCCCCGAGCUACACCCACACACGCAUCGAGAUGGCACCAUCCCAGCGACCUCACCACCAUCACCAUCAUUCUCGUAAGAACCUUCUCACUCUCUUCAUCGCCUUCAUGAAGCUCCGGGACACCCAGAGGACACUUGACCCAGGUCCGGUGAACCCGUGGGUUUCAAGCUAAGAUCCGGCCACUUCCAGCCACUUCACGGUGAAACAAAGGUAACAAACCUCUCCCUCUCACCUUUACCUUCGUUUUGGUAUCUAGAUCGGAGCCUAAGAUGGUGAAAUGGCAUCGACCGGAGCAAGGAGGUCUCCAGCCUCCUUCCCCGACAAUAGCAAAUGAACCUAGGCCCUUUGGGCUGUUUUAGAACUCAAGCUUAAGCCCGUUAGAAACCCAACCCAUUUCUUCUUUUUUUGUUUAUCUAUUUAUUUAUUUUUAUUUUUAAAACCCAAAAACAAUUGGGCCAGGCCUAAGUGCCCAGCUCAAUUGAAAACCCAAAACCCUUUUGGUCUCAAGCCUUAGGGUCGUGUGGGGUUAGGCCUUCGAGCCUUGGCACCCAGCCCGUUUACCCUAAAAUCCUACACCCUUAGGCCCGUUAACCUUUAGCCCUAAACCCAAAACCCCCUAAGCCCAAUCUGAUCCAACCCUUUUGGACCUAACCCAGAUCUAACCCUAAACCGAUCUGACUCGAUUUGACUCGAACCCGUUGACUUUAACCCGGUCAACAUUGACAGUUGACUUUUCGGGUUUCGUCCAUAACCCUUCAUUGGCUAAUUUUGACGUCUUGGACCCGUUUUUGACAUCCAUUUUCCCAAAUUAAAUUGUUUGAGUAUAGUUUCAUUAAUUGUACCCUUUAUGUGUAUAGGUGCAAUUAAUAGUAGCGAUUCCGUCAUUCCUAUUUCGUACAAUGCAUUUACGAUGGAGUAUCUGUGAGUGAACCCUUUCUAAAUUGCAUGUUUUAAUAGUAGAAAUGCAUCAUGAAAAACAUGAUUUACUAAAUACGUUUUGUGAACGUUUUAUGAGAAAUUGAUCAUCAUGCUAUACUGAGGUUAUUUUGGAAUACCAUAUUUUCUAUCGAAUCCAUGUUCUUGUAGGAUAUCUGAUGGAUGACGAUAUACUAUUUAGAACAUGUUUUUACACACUUCUUUACAUAAAUGACGAAUGACUUUAUACUAUGAAGAUGAUUUUGAGAUAUAUGUACCUAUAUGUUUGGAACGAUUAUGUUCAAUGUUUUUGUGCGUAUCUAGUGGUCACUAUUCUGCCUAUUUGGCAAUGAUACUUAUAUUGGCUUCGUGCCAAGCGUAGGUUGGGCCUAUUUGGCAAAUGAAGGAAGUGUUCUAAAUGACAUGUUUGGCAAAUGAAGGUUUCUAACUGAUUAGUUACUGAUACUGAUACCACUAGUUAGCACUAUAUAUGAGAUGCGUUUUAUGAAUGUUUUAUGGCAUGCUAGGAUUUUCAGAGAAACCUAUUACUUAUUAUGCUAUUAAUUUUCAUAAAACUUUGGGGGUUAGUAUGUUGAUAACUAUUUUAUUAUAUAUUUAUAUCAACUUGGUCCACUCAUGUUUGUUUUGCACCCCCUCAUGACAUAGGAACGAGGACUACGAUCUGAUGUAUGAGGCAUUCCCAUACCAGUGAUACCGUGUUAUCUCCUCUGCUUGAUCACUCUUGUAAUAACACCUUCUAUUGUAAUAUGACUUAGAAUAUGCUCUUAACAUGCCAUGCUUUAUCAUUGUGAAUUCAUUGUUGGCAGUUGAAUAUUAUUUAUGUCACAUUCUAUUAUCUUGUUACAAAUUAGGUGCAUGUUCGCAGCAUUUGCAUUCAUAAAUGGCUUGCGUCAUCUUCGGGUGUCGGCCAGUACGUGACCAUCCCGAUGUCCUUCUGGACAUUGGAAUUGGGGUGUGUCAGUUUGUUAGUAUCACAUAUUGGUAAAUCUGUUAUUAAUAUAAGAGUGAAACCAAUAAACUUGAAUUCAAUGCUCUAUGUUCCAAAAUUGACACAAAAUUUGUUGUCAGUUCAUCAUAUAUGUUUGGAUAACAAUUGUUGACUAAUUUUUGAUGCAGUUUGCUUUUGGAUUUAGGACAAGACCACAAUGAGGAUUCUCUAUAAAGGGCUAUGCAGUAAUAGACUCUAUCCCAUCCUUCUAGCAUCUUCUCAUUUUGUCCUAAAAACCAUCAAAUAUCAACCUCAAGCAUAUCUUGGUUAGCUAGUACUAUCUUCUACUUGGCAUCAUAGAUUAGAACACCCUACAAAUAAGAUUGUUACAUUGAUGUUACAUAAAGCUUAUGCACAAUGUAAACAUGUUUCUUCACCUGUCAUGUGUCACAGUUGUCUACAGGGUAAGUUUUGUAAACUUCCCUUUCACCAAAGUGUUAACAAGUCUGUACAACCCUUCCAAACUAUACAUUGUGACCUUUGGGGCCCUUCUCCUUGUAUUUCAGUAGAUGGAUAUAGGUACUAUAUGAUAUUUAUUGAUGAAUGUACGAGGAACUGUUGACUUUUUCCAUUAAUCAAUAAAAGUGACUUGUGUUUUGUGUUUGUUACUUUUUACAAAUAUGUUCAAACUUAGUUCUCAAGCUUUAUUCAGACUUUACAAAGUGAUGUUGGGGGGGGGGGGCGAGAGUAUGUCAGUGAACAGUUUCAAUCCUUUCUUCAUGUCCACAUACUCCUAAACAAAAUGAAUUAGCUGAGAGAAAACAUAGACACCUUAUAUCACUUUAUUUGCAAAAUGCCAAGUUAACAUCUUCUUUUUGGUCCAUGCUGUUCAAACUGCAUCUUACUUGAUUAAUAAAAUGCCCACACCAAUUUUACAUGAUAAGUCUCCCUUUGAAGUUCUAUUUGGAGAUGUUUCAACAAUUUCUUAUUUAAGAAUAUUUGGUUGUGCCUACUAUCCCUUGCUAAAACCAUAUCUCAGCAACAAACUUCAACCAAAAACCAUUAAGUAUGUCUUUUUAGGAUAUGUAUCUCAGUAUAAGGGGUACAUUUGUUAUGAUGUGUUUGCCAAGUACAUCAUCUUCUUUACCUAUUGUCACAAAUACUAAUAUUGUUGUCUUACCUGCAUCUCAUGAUACCUCUACUUCUGAUACAUCUACUACACUUAGUAAUUAAUUUGAUUCAUGUUCUUCAGCACCAUAUAUAUCACCCCUACCAUCCUUACCCUCUCUAUUUGUUCAAAAUUCACCUCUAUCCAUUACUGGUACAUCUGAAUCUUCUUCAUCAAUCUCUAUGGUACCUAAGUCCAAUAAUGAAGCAUCAAUUGAUAAUUUACAUCAAGUUUCUUCAUUUCAACCUGAAACUUUGCAAGUAGUUCUAGAGAUUCCCCUUAUGAAUUUGCAUCCAAUGCAAACCAGAAGCAAAAGUGGAAUCGUGAAAAAUAAGGCUUUUUUGACUACUCUCCAAGAGUUUGGUGGUGUUGAUUUGUCUCUAGUUGAGCCAGCUACUUACAAGACUGCUUUAAAAGUUCAUGUUUGGUUGACAACUAUGAAAGAAGAAGUUGACGCUCUUCACUAUUAGGGUACAUGGAGUUUGGUGUCAUUUCCUACAAAUAAGAAUUUGGUGGGGUGUAAAUGAUAUUUAAGAUAAAAAAGCAUGCAGAUAGGUCCAUUGCUAGACACAAGGCCAGAUUAUUGGCUAAAGGAUUCAGUCAAGAACCAUGACAAGAUUAUGAAGAAACUUUUAAUCCUAUAGUUAAGCCAACUACAGUGAGGAUUGUAUUGGCACUUGCAGCAAAUUUUGGUUGGAAUUUAAGGCAGUUAGAUGUAAAGAAUGCAUUUCUGUAUGACAUUCUUUAUGAAGAAGUGUACAUGGCUCAACCUCCUGGAUUUGUGGAUCCCAAUCAUCCAACUUUGGUAUGCAAACUUCAUAAAUCCCUAUAUGGUUUAAAACAAGCUCCUAGAACUUGGAAUGAAGGUUUACUGCAUUUCUACCUACAUUGGGGUUUAAGAAUACAUACUCUGAUUCUUCCUUAUUUGUGAAACAAGUGGAUUAUGAGAUUGUCAUUUUAUUAUUGUAUGUUGAUGACAUCAUUAUUACUGGCAGUGCAUCAAAUGCAAUUCAAGAGAUUAUUCAAUCUUUCACAAGUCACAAUUGAGUUUGAGAUCAAAUACUUAGGGGCCUUGCAUUAUUUUUUGGGAAUACAAAUUUCCAAUACCAAAAUUGGGUUAUUUUUGUCACAAUAUGUACAUGAUUUAUUAGUCAAGACAUAAAUGAAUGAGUCCAAACCUUGUGAUACUCCCUGUCUACCCUAUAACAGAUUCUUAAAGAUGAUGGUCAACCUUAUGGAAACCCCAUUUGUACAGAAGCAUUGUAGAAGCAUUGCAAUAUCUCAUUUUCACCAGGCCUGAUAUUGCAUUUUUUGUGCAUUAGGUCUACCAAUUUAUGCUGACUCCAAUAGUUGCUCAUUUCAUAGCUGUAAAGAGAAUCCUCUGGUACUUAAAGGGAAUAAUGCACUUGGGAAUUAGUUAUAAUUGAGGAGACUUGAAUUUAUCAGCAUUUAGUGAUCCUGAAUGGGCAAGAGACCCAAAUGAUUAAAGAUCCACUACUGGAUUAGUUGUAUUUCUUGGACCAAAUCCUGUGUCUUGGUCUUCUAAGAAAUAACAAACUUUUUCCAGGUCCUCCAUUGAAGCUGAAUAUUGUGCAUUGUCUACUAUUUCUGCUAAACUCGAUUGGAUCAAACAAUUACUUGUGUUUAUGCAUGUUCCCAUUUCUAAAGCUCCAAUAUUAUUUUGUGACAAUAUGUUUGCCAAUGCUCUCUCAUUCAAUCCAGUUCAGCAUCAAAAGACAAAGCAUAUUGAAUUUGAUGUGCAUUUUGUUAAGGAAAGAGUGGCAAAGUAGCAGCUUUUUGUGCAGUUUGUUUCCUCCAGAGAACAAUUUGUAGAUAUGUUAAACCCCUCCCCAAAAUUUCCUUGUAGUUGUACAAUUCCUCAAAAAGUUAUGGAAAUGUGCAAUUUGGUCCCCCAUCUUAAUUUAAUUCGGACCCUCCAUCUAGAUUUCCUUUCUCCCCUACAUUGCCACGUGGCAUCACCUUAACUUAUCCCAUAUCUCUCUCUUUCUCUUUCUCGAGUCUUUCUAUAAUCCCUUACUCUCUCUCAUUUCUUAACUCUCUCUCUCACUCUUCCCCGGUCUACCCACGCACACACGUUGAAACAUCACCACCACCUUCGACGACAUCUCAAUGCCACCAUCACCUUCGUGGACUCCUCCUCUCAUCUUUCCUCAUCACGGUGAAACACAUAACACCCAAAAUCAACCCAAAUCCCUUUGGUUUAACCCCGUGGGUUUCGAGCAAGAUUCGACCACCUCCGUUCACUUCUCGGAGAAACAAAGGUAACCAACCUUCCCCUCUCGACUUCAGCUUCAAUUUGGUACCAAACUUGUACCCUAGGUUGCUAGUUUGACGGCAACCAGAGCUAAGGAGCUCACACAUUCUUCCCUGGUGAGAAACCCAAGCCCAACGCGUCACAGGCCUUUGAGCUUAGUGUGUAGCAUAGGCCCUUGGCCCAAUUCUUGGGUCGGGCCUUAAGCCCAAAUCAUUUUUAGUUAUUUUUUCUUUUAUUAGCCCAAAAACCAAUCGGGCCAAGCUUCAAGCCUAAACCUCUUAGUGGUGUAGCACAGGGCCUUCGGCUCGUAGACCCAAAAUCCUAAACACUUUGGGCUUUAAGCCCAAAACCCUUGUAACCCUAAACCUUAUUGAGCCCAGGCCUUCGGGCCUUAGGACAAAGCCCAAUGGCUAAGCCCAGAUUCACCGGCCCAACCCAUUUCCAUUUUAAACCCUAAGCCCAACCCGAAUCCAAACCCUUGCCCUGGUCCAACCCUAAACUGGUUUGACCUGGUUGACUUUGAUUGACUCAGACCCGUUGACCGACCCGACCCAUUGACCGUUGACUUUCGGUCAACAUUGAUUGUUGACUUUGAUUAUUAAUCGUCAACUUUGACAUUUCAUUGACUUUUUCAGGUUUCGUCUGGAACCCCUCCUAGGCUAAUUUUGACAUCCUGGACCCGUUUUUGACGUCCGUUUUCCCAAAUUAAAUUGUUUAAGUAUAGUUUAUUAAUUAUAAGCUUUAUCUGCUUAGGUGCAAUCUUUAGUGGUGAUUUCGUUAUUCCUAUUUCAUAUGGCUCAUCUACAACGGAGUAUAUGUGAGUGGACCCUUCUAAAAUGCAAGUUUUAUUAAUAGAAAUGCAUACAUGAAAAACAUGAUUUACUAAAUACGUUUUGUGAAUGUUUUAUGAGAAAUUGAUUAUCAUGCUCUACUGAGCUUAUUUCGGAAUACCAUACUUUCUAUCAAACCCAUGUUCUUGUAGGGUAUUUGAUGGAUGACGAUAUACUAUUUAGAACAUGGUUUCACACACUUCUUUAUAGUAUAGAUGAUUGAUGACUUUAUACUAUGAAGAUGAUUUUUAGAUAUAUGUACCUAUGUUUGGAAAGAUUAUGUUCAAUGUUUUUGUGUGUAUCAAAUGGUCACUAUUCUGCCAGGGGCAAGGAUCUAGUGCUGGUAUAUGGGCCGGGAGAAAUAAUCCCUGGCUUCGAGUCGAGGGACAUGGAGCUGGCAAAGGGCCUGGAGAAAUAAUCUCUAGCUUUAGGCCGAGAGACAUGAAGUUGGCAAUGGGUCGGGAGAUAUUAUACUAUUGAUACCACUUUUUAGCACACUAUAUAUGAGAUAUGCUUUAUGAGAUGUUUUAUGGCGUGCUAGGGUUUUCAGAAAACCUAUCACUUAUUAUGCUAUUAGUUUUCAUAAAGCUUUGGGGGUUAGUAUGUUGAUAACUCUUUUAUUAUAUAUAUAUAUAUAUAUAUAUAUAUCAACUUGGUCCACUCAUGUUUGUUUUGCGCCCCCUCAGGACCUGGGUACGAGGAAUAUGACCCAAGCUACGAGGUAUUCCCCUACCAUUGACAUCGUGCUAUCCUUUCAGCUUUGACUUCAUUGUAAUUCCACCUUCCGCUAAUAUGCUCUGAACAUCCAUGCAUCAUCUUUAUGAAUUCAUUGUUGGCAGUUGAAUAUUGUUUUUGUUGUAUUAGUAUGUCAAUGAAAUUUAUAUGCAUAUUGUCACAUGUUCUCUGCAUUUGCAUUCAUAAAUGGCUUGCAUCACCUUCGGGUGUCGGCCAGCACGUGACCAUCCCGAUGUCCCACGAACAUCGGGAUUGGGGCGUGUUAGGAUAUAUUGACAAAAGGGUUCAGUGCUCCUUUAUUUCAAACUCAUUGUAACAAUUUCAUGCUUAGCUUAUCAAAGCAAGAGAUUUGGGGGAGGGGGGGGAUGUUAUAGUAUGAGUUAGUGAGUGUAGGAUUGUUACACUUGCCAUAAGAUUAGGAGCUGUGUUAGUUAUGUAGUUAAGAUUGUUGUGCAUAAAUACUAUUGUACCUUGUAUUACUUGUUAAUUAAGAAAAGAUAUACAUUUCUCUCUUUUCUCUCUCUAUAAACUGUUCUUCAUUACAUACAUCAAAGAUCUUUAAUCAAUAUAGGUUACAUGAGAUGCGGUGAAUGUAGGCGGGGAUGCUAGGGGUGUUGACGAAGCUGCCACAGGUGUAGAGAAUGGUGAUGGAGAAUUGUGGGGCCUGUAGCAGUGGAGGAUGAGCUUGCCUGAUGUGACCCACACUACUACAAUAUACCCUAUCACUGGUGAAGCAAAAACCGACAAGAAACCCAAUUUUUGUCGGAAAUUUAGUAAAAAUCCGACAUAACAAUGCAAUGUCGGAUUUGAAUAGCGACACUAAUGCUAGCGUCGUAAAAGGGCUUCAAUGUCGGUGUGUACGCUUAAUUUGCCACUACACAGUGUCGGUUUAAAGCGACACUGAUACUAACGUCAAUUUAAAGCGACACUGACAUUGACACUAACGUCGGUUUAAAGCGAUGCAAAUUAGCAAUUAAAUUAUAAAAUAUCCAGUCUUACGUCGAUUUAAAGCGACGUGAUGUUUUGACAUGAUGACGGUCAUAACCGACGUCAACUAGCAGCUAACAAAUAAAAUACUCAAUCUAUUGUCGGUCCUAACCGACUUUACCCAACAUCUCGAUAAUAAAAUAAUUAUCAUGCAUUCCUACACAGAUGGUAAAUGAGAUGCAAACUUCACAGAUUCAAUUUAUUCAAGAAUUCAACUUGGGUCUUUUGGGUGUAGAAUUUCUUGUUAAAUGUAUUCUAUUUCAUAUAAAUAAGGAAGUACAAAUAACACAUAUAUAGGAGCCAUUAGAGAACCGGUUACAAGAUGAAGAUAAAAAAACUAACAAUUACAUAUAAUACUAAUGAGAGCUCCAUGCUUGCAUAUAAUACUAGCAGCUGCCAUGAUGCUUUCCUGUGCUUGCCUUUGUCAAAGACCACAGAUUUUGUAGCUCCAUACUGCCAUAUAUAAUACUAGCAACUCCAUGCUGCCAUGCUUGCCAUCAGAUCAGUGCUCCAAUACUUUACUACUUCAACAUUAGGGCUCUAAUCUCUAUCGAUUAAACUCAGGUUUUAUACCUUUCAAAAAUUAUGGAUCUGCGAUUUCCAGUGUCCUUGCUCUUCAGAUCCAACAUGCAUAAAUACAAAAAAAACAAUUAAAAACCAAGAAACAAAAAUAAAUUUUCAAUUUAAGCAUAAAACUAGUUAGAAUACAAAAUAGAAACUAAAAUUAAUAAUCAUAAUAAUUUAAAAAUGAACCACCUUCAAGCUCUUCCUCCUCGAAUUGGAGUUCCUCAGAAUGUUGAUCUUCAAACUGGUGAUCCAAAGAAAAUGGGGAAGGAGUUAAGGAAAAACUGAAAAGGAGGAAGAAGGGGACGCACAGAUGAAAUGGGGAAGGAGAAGAAGAAAGUCUGAAAUUGGGGGAGAAAUGAAAGCAUGGUUGAAAUGGGAAAGAGAGGGGUUUAAAUAUGGGUACCUUUCUGACACACUUUUUGAAAUUCACAUAGCGUCGCUUUAAUGAAACUGGCAUCGCUUUAAUGAAACUAGCGUCGGUUUAAAUCGACGCCAACUUCUAACAGUCUUUUUGAAAUUCACAUAGCGUCACUUUAAUGAAACUAGCGUCAGUUUAAACCGACGCCAACUUCUAACACACUUUUUGAAUUCACAUAGCGUCACUUUAAGGAAAUCAGCUUCGGUUUAAAAAGACGCCAACUUCUGACACACUUUUUGAAAUUCACAUAACGUCGCUUUAAUGAAACUCGCGUCGCUUUAAUGAAACUAGCGUCGGUUUAAACCGACGCAACUUCUGACACACUUUUUGAAAUUCACAUAGUGUCGCUUUAAUGAAACUAGCGUCGGUUAAAACUGACACUAAAUCUCUCCAUCCAUUUCCUCAUGCAAACAAGCGGGAAAUUUCCCGCCUAAUAUUUCAAAUACUAUAAUUAUAUAUAUAUAUAUAUAUUAAUUUUAUAAUUUUAUAACCCUAAAAAAUAAUUAUAUUAAUGUUACAAUUUUAUACCCCUAAAAACUAUAAUAAUUAUAUAUAUAUUAUUAAAUUAAAUUUUAAAAAUUGGUGACCAUUGGAUCAGCUUAAAUAUACAUACCAUUCAAUUUCUUAAGUGUUAUACAUACAAAAUAAAUAAAUUUAAAUCUACUUAAUAAAUAUAUAUACACACACCAUUGAACUUAAUGGGAUAUGAAUUCUACGAAACUAAUUUCAACGAUCCAACCGUCAAACUUGUUUGUAUAUGCUUCGAGAUCACAUCAGAAAAAAUCGCAAAAAACAAACAUUCAGAGAUCAAUUAACGAGACAAAACUUUUCGACGGUUAUAAAACGAAAAAUCACGAUUUAACGGUUAUUUUAACUCCGAUUUUGAUUAUUUUUUAUAGCUACACUCCUUGAUCCUAUAUGAAUACAAUGAAUGAAUUCGAUCUUCAAUUUGAAACAUUUACAUUAGUGGAUACCACACAAAUCUUAUGUUAUUUUUAAUGAAAGUAUAAAUAAACUCUUAAGUGUUAAUGAAUCUAUCGUUUUGAUGGGAUACGCAUUCUACGAAACUAAUUUCAAUGAUCCAACCAUCAAAAUUGUUUAUAUAUGCUUCGAGAUUGCAUACGCCAAAAAUCGCAAAAAACAAACAUUCAGAGAUCAAGUAACACAACAAAACUUUUCAACAGUUAUAAAAGAAAAAUCAUGAUUUAACGGUGAUUUUAACUCUCAUUUUGAUGAUUUUUUACAGUUACACUCCUUGACCCUAUAUGAAUACAAUGAAUGAGCUCGAUCUUCAAUUAAAAUAUUUACACUAGUGAAUACCACAAAUUCUUAUGUUAUACUUAAUGAAAAUAUAAAUAAACUCUAAGAGUUAGUGAAUCUAUCAUUUUGAUGGGAUAUGCAUUCUACGAAACUAAUUUCAUUGAUCCAACCGUUAAACUUGUUUAUAUAUGCUUUGAGAUCGCAUACGCCAAAAAUCACAAAAAACAAACAUUCAGAGAUCAAGUAACGGGACAAAACUUUUUGACGGUUACAAACAAAAAAUCACGAUUUAACGGUUAUUUUAACUCCGAUUUUGAUUAUUUUUUACAGCUACACUCCUUGACCCUAUAUGAAUACAAUGAAUGAGCUCGAUCUUCAAUUUAAAAUAUUUACACUAGUGGAUACCACAAAUUCUUAUGUUAUACUUAAUGAAAGUAUAAAUAAACUCUAAGAGUUAGUGAAUCUAUCAUUUUGAUGGGAUAUGCAUUCUACGAAACUAAUUUCAUUGAUCCAACCGUUAAACUUGUUUAUAUAUGCUUUGAGAUCGCAUACGUUAAAAAUCACAAAAAACAAACAUUCAGAGAUCAAGUAACGAAACAAAACUUUUUGACAGUUACAAACAAAAAAUUACGAUUUAACUGUUAUUUUUACUCCGAUUUUGAUGAUUUUUUACAGCUACACUCCUUGACCCUAUAUGAAUACAAUGAAUGAAUUCGAUCUUCAAUUUAAAAUAUUUACAUUAGUGGAUACCACACAAAUCUUAUGUUAUUCUUAAUGAAAGUAUAACUAAACUCUUAAGGGUUAAUGAAUAUAUCGUUUUGAUGGGAUACGCAUUCUAUGAAACUAAUUUCAAUGAUCGAACCAUCAAAAUUAUUUAUAUAUGCUUCGAGAUUGCAUACACCAAAAAUCGCAAAAAACAAACAUUCAGAGAUCAAGUAACGGGACAAAACUUUUCAACGGUUAUAAACGAAAAAUCAUGAUUUAACGAUGAUUUUAACUCUGAUUUUGAUGAUUUUUUACAACUACACUCAUUGACCCUAUAUGAAUAUAAUGAAUGAGCUUGAUCUUAAAUUUAAAAUAUUUACCCUCGUGGAUACCACAAAUUCUUAUGUUAUACUUAAUGAAAAUAUAAAUAAACUGUAAGUGUUAGUAAAUUUAUUAUUUUGAUGGGAUACGCAUUCUACGAAACUAAUUUUAACGAUCCAACCGUCAAACUUGUUUAUAUAUGCUUCGAGAUUGCAUGCGCCAAAAAUUGUAAAAAAACAAACAUUCAUAGAUCAAGUAAGGAGACAAAACUUUUUGACGAUUAUAAGUGACAGUAAAUGUUUACGACGCUUAUAAGUGACAGUAAAUGUUUACGUCGGUUUAAAAGCGACAUUAAAUGUUUAUGACGCUUAUAAGUGACAGUAAAUCCGACGUCAUGUUCAAUAAGUGUCGCAACUGUCUAAUUCAUCAUUAUAUUAUAUUAAACCGAUAUUAUCUACUGACACUAUAAGAUCCUUUUGUAGUAGUGCCAUUCCUGGAGCUGCGUAGAGCACUAUGGAGUCACCCACGGCGGCUGCUGCUGAUUUGUUUGCUUUUUGGUGUUUGUGCGUUGUGUUUUCCACUGCAAUUAUUUGAUUUGAUUUGAGAAGAUAAAUUCAAUUGAAUAAAAGUUGGUAAUUCCGGGGUGCUCUCAUCCGACGACCCUGACGCCCUGGAGAGUGACUUUUGCUAAAUCUCUCAUCCGGCUAAAGUGAUUGCACCAAAUAAAGAUAAUGAGAGGACCUGGACUACCCCACCCCACCCAACCCAACCAAUUUUUUACAAGAAAUUCGGUAGUAAUCAUGACCAAAUGGAAAUCCGAAGUGGACCAUGGUUUGUUUGUCUUUUGCUGUUUUUUACAAUAUAGUCAUGAACAAUAAUGUAUACAUUGUGAUAGAAUGAAAUGUCUAAAUUAUCCAUAUAACAUCACAAUACUAUAUUGAGAUUAAAAACAUUAAAAAAUAUCCAAUCAUUGAUUUCUAAUCAAAGAGAGUGAUCAAGAAUUUCUUGUUCACCGAAGGUGACCAAAAGAAUAUUUAUGUAUAAAACUCUAUGUCUUUACGAAUUCUUAACCCUACAAUUUGUAAAACUAUCUUAAAACAUUGCACAAAGAAUAGAAACCAGAAGCUAUUUUGUGUAUAUGAAUUUUGUCUAAACUUUUUAUGUGUUUUGCGAAACUAGGCAGACAAUAACUUACAAUUGUUCGAUGUGGUGCUUCUGUCGAUUUUCCUUGUAGCAAACUAAUAAUGUCAAUAUGUUAGACGAGGCAGUGUAGCAAACUAAUAAUGUCAAUAUGUUAGACGAGGCAGUGGAGUAUGUCAAUUUUUUUCAGAAGAAUAUUCAGGUAUUAAUACAUUGACCUUCUUAAGAAACUUUGUCAAUACAUAUUAUACCUCAUUACCUUAACGAGACACUUGGGAAAGAUUUGAAGGGAAAAAGUUUACAUUAGCUGUUCCUUUCCCGCUCCCUCUUUUGAAUAAGAUGUUAUGUCUGUCUGCUGUGUAAUUGAAGGGAAGUUACGUACUAAAAACUUCGAAACAUGGCAGGAAAUUUCGGAGCAUCAACGUAGGUACAAAUGCAUAGCUAAAGAAUGACCAUAUGGAACUUUCGGCUCAUGGCAGUGGUAUGUUGAUAAUCGUUUCUAAGAGACGUACCUAGAUAUUUAUUCAUCUAUCACGUUUACUGUCGUGCAACUGGAUAUUUACUAUCAAGUGAAUUGUGAUUACCUGUCAGUUGCAACCUAUUUAAUUAUGUAAUGCUAUUAACAAAGUUAACCAAGUUUCUCGAGGACGAACCGUUCUCUCCCAAAGCAGCCACAGCCAUCUCCCCAAUUUUCUUGCUCCUCUCUCUAAGCACUCUCCCUUCUUCCGACUCCAUCAACUCCCUCACUCUCCUCUCCAAUUUCUCCCCUCUCACGAACCCAUUUUCCUCAUCUUUCUGCUCCACCGCAAACGCCAUUUCCAUGUCCGUCACCAGAACAUUCCUGUUCAUAUGCUGCUCCGCGUACAGCGGCCAAGCAAUCAUCGGCACCCCCGCAACAACUGCUUCCAGCACCGAGUUCCAUCCGCAAUGCGUCACGAACCCACCAACCGAUUCCUUCUUCAACACCGCCACCUGCGGCGCCCAUGACUUCACUACCAUCCCCCUGUCUUUGAUCCUCUCCAAGAACCCUUCUGGCAACACACCCUCCAAAUCAAAGUCGUCAACUCCGAGGACCUGCUUCAUUUUCUCAUCAACCGGCGGCUUCUUCACCACCCACAGGAACCUCUGUCCACUCGCCUCCAACCCUUUCGCUAUCUCCUUCACCUGAAUUGCAGGGAAUGAUCCCCUGCUUCCGAAACAGAGAAAUACAACGCUUCGACUUGGCUGCUUAUCGAGCCAGGACAAGCAGUCCUCCUCCUCCGCCGCAUCUGCAUCAUUACCCGAUUCUUUUUCAUCGUCAAUCAAUGGUCCAACGUAGUACACAGGCGGAGUUGGCCCAUCAGGAACACACAGGCCUUCAGCAAUGGCAUGGAGGACGGCUGGUGGCUCGAGCUCUUCGAACGUGUUGACGAUGAUUCCGUUGGAUUUGGGAAGAUGUGAGCAAAAGGAGAGGACGUCCCAAUAACCAGGGUCAUCUCGGUCGAGCACCGGUUCCAUCAUGUAUAUAGCCUUCAGAGGAGAUUUCCGUCCGGGGAAUUUGAAAACGUUGUCGGUGAGGUCCUUGAAGCUCUGGGUGGUUUGUUCAUGGAUCUUAGGAAAAUACAAAAAAGCAGCCAGAGCUGCGGCACCCGAAGCGUAGAAGUAGUAUGUGGGGAUGUCGAAUUCCUUGGCAAUGGUCAGCGCGGAGGUGCAGAAGAUGUCAAUGACGAAGGCGCGAACGAUGGCGGAUUUGGAGACGUCUUGGAGGGCACGGCGGACGUGGGGAUCGUUCUGGCGGAUGAAGUCGGUCAUGAUUGCGAAGCCGCUGAUGUUUUGGGUAAUUUUAUUGGCGACGCGAGGGAACUGGCGGAAGGAAAUGGGAGGGUGGGAGUGGGAGAUGCGGCGGAUAUAGGCGGGGAUGCUAGGUGUGUCGAAGAAGCUGCCGCAGGUGUAGAGAAUGGUGAUGGAGAAUUUGUGGGGGCCGUAGCGGUGGAGGAUGAGCUUGCCCAGCUCCACCAUGGAGAUGAUGUGACCCAUUCCUGGAGCUGCGUACAGCACUAUGGCGUCUCCCAUGGCUGCUGCUGUUUUGUUUGCGUUUUGGUGUUUAUGCGUUGUGUUUUCUGAUGCAAUUAUUUGAUUUGAUUUGAGAAGAUAAAUUCAAUUGAAUAAAAGUUGGUAAUUCCGGGGUGCUCUCAUCCGACGACCCCCCUGACGCCCCGGAGAGUGACUUCUGCUAAAGUAAUUGCACCAAACAAAGAUAAAGAGAGGACCUGCACUACCCCACCCCACCCCACCCAACCCAACCAACUUUUUAGAAGAAAAUCGGAAGUAAUCAUAACCGAAGGGAAAUCGGAAGUGGAACGUGAUUUGUUUGCCGGUUGCUUUUUUUUUUUUUUUUUUCAAUGUAGUCAUGAACAAUAAUGUAUACAUCAUGAUAGAAUGAAAUGUCUAAGUUAUCCAUAUAACAUCACAAUACUACAUUGAGAUUAAAAACAUUAAAAAAUAUCCAAUCGAUGAUUUCUAAUCAAAGAGAGUGAUCUAGAAUUCCUUAUUCACCAAGGGCAACCAAGAGAACAUUUAUGUAUAAAACUCUAUGUCUUUACGAAUUCUUAAUCCUACAAUUUGUAAAACGAAUGAGGAUCCUCCCUUAUGUCCAUUCAUCGUACAUUAUGUGCUCAGUUUUCGUCAGAUACUAUUCAUAUUUAAUUUUAAAUAAAAAUAUUUAAAAUAAUUUAUGAUCGCAUGCUGUAUGAUGAACAUACACGAUUUAAGAAUCCCUAGGAUCCUCAUUCCUGUAAAACUAACUUAAAGCAUUGCACAAAGAAUAGAAACCAGAAGAUAUUUUGUGUAUAUGAAUUUUGUCUGAACUUCGCACGUGUUUUGCGAAACUAAGUAGACAGCAGCUUACAAUUGUUCGAUGUGGUGCUUCUGUUGAUUUUCCUUGUAGCAAACUAAUAUUGUCAAUAUGUUAGACGAGGCAGUGGGGUAUCAAGUUUCCUCAGAAGAAUAUUCAGGUAUUAAUUCAUUGACCUUCUUAAGAAACUUUGUCAAUACGUAUUAUGCCUCAUUACCUCUAACGAGACAUUUGGGAAAGAUUUGAGGGGAAAAAGUUUACAUUAGCUGUUCCUUUCCUGCUCCCUCUUUUGAAUAAGAUGUUAUGUCUGUCUGCUGUGUAAUUGAAGGGAAGUUACGUACUAAAAACUUCGAAACAUGGCAGGAACUUUCGGAGCAUUAGGGUAGGUGCAAAUGCAUAGCUAAAGAAUGACCAGAUAGAACUUUCGGCUCAUGGCAGUGGUAUGUUGAUAAUCGUUUCUAAGAGACUUAUACCUGGAUAUUUAUUCAUCUAUCACGUUUACUAUCAUCUAUCUGGAUAUUUACUAUCGAGUGAAUUGUGAUUUCAUGUUGGCUACAACCUAUAUUGCAUAGAAAUUGAUACACGAGACGUGACACGACAAAUCUCAAAAAACAAGGACACAGAUGUUAGAUACGGUGAUUAAAAUAUAAUAAAUAUUAAAACAAUACUUCAAAUUCAUAAUACAACAUUUACAUACAUAAUAAUUAAUACAACCCAAGAUUCCAGUCUCAUACAAAUACAAUUUUUCUUAAUUUUAUUUUUAUGUUUAUGCUAAAGAGACCAAAUUUUUAAACAAUAUUUUGUAACCACAUAAUGUAGUGUUUAAUGGUUGAAAUUCUUCUUUAAAUCCUUAAAAAAGGAAUUCAACCAUCAAAUCGCCGCAUCAUGUGAUCUACAAAAAAUGAUUUAAAACUUUUGCCUCCCUAACAUUUGCUUAUUUUUCACACAAAGCAAAUGCAAAUCCAGAACUCGUUUAGUUAUGUAAUGCUAUUAACAAAGUUAACCAAGUUUCUCGAGGACGAACCAUUCUCUCCCAAAGCAGCCACAGCCAUCUCCCCAAUUUUCUUGCUCCUCUCUCUAAGCACUCUCCCUUCUUCCGACUCCAUCAACUCCCUCACUCUCCUCUCCAAUUCCUCCCCACUCACGAACCCAUCUUCCUCAUCUCUCUGCUCCACCGCAAUCGCCAUUUCCAUGUCCGUCACUAGAACAUUCCUGUUCAAAUGCUGCUCCGCGUACAGCGGCCAAGCAAUCAUCGGCACCCCGGCAACCACUGCUUCCAGCACCGAGUUCCAUCCGCAAUGCGUCACGAACCCACCAACUGAUUCCUUCUUCAACACUGCCACCUGGGGCGCCCAUGACUUCACUACCAUCCCCCUGUCUUUGGUCCUCUCCAAGAACCCAUCAGGCAACACACCCUCCAAAUCACAGUCGUCAACUCCAAAGACCUGCUUUGUUUUCUCAUGAACCGGAGGCAUUUUCACCACCCACAGGAACCUCUUCCCACUCGCCUCCAACCCUUUCGCUAUUUCCUUCAGUUGAAUUGCAGGCAGCGAUCCCCUGCUUCCAAAACAGAGAAAUACUACACUUCGACUUGGCUGCUUAUCGAGCCAGGACAAGCAGCCCUCCUCCUCUGCCGCAUCUACAACAUUUCCCGAUUCUUUUUCAUCGUCAAUCAAUGGUCCAACGUAGUACACAGGCGGAGUUAGCCCAUCAGGAACACACAGGCCUUCAGCAAUGGCAUGGAGGACGGCAGGUGGCUCGAGCUCUUUGAACGUGUUGACGAUGAUUCCGUUGGAUUUGGGAAUAUGUGAGCAACAGGAGAGCACGUCCCAAUAACCAGGGUCAUCUCGGUCGAGCACCGGUUCCAUCAUGUAUAUAGCCUUCAGAGGAGAUUUCUGUCCGGGGAAUUUGAAAACGAUGUCGGUGAGGUCCUUGAAACUCUGGGUGGUUUGUUCAUGGAUCUUAGGAAAAUACAACAAAGCAGCCAGAGCUGCGGCACCCGUAGGGCAGAAGUAGUAUGUGGGGAUGUCGAAUUCCUUGGCAAUGGUCAGCGCGGAGGUGCAGAAGAUGUCGAUGACGAAGGCGCGAACGACGGCAGAUUUGGAGACGUCUUGGAGAGCAUGGCGGACGUGGGGAUCGUUCUGGCGGAUGAAGUCGC